GGUGACGUGGCCCAAUUGGAAGGAGGCACCGGUCUCAGGAACCGGGAUGUGUGGGUUCGAGUCCCACCGUCACUACC
This 77-nucleotide transfer RNA is filed under the name Limnoglobus roseus. RNAcentral describes it as "tRNA-Leu". It matches the Rfam family "tRNA". Rfam says of the family: Transfer RNA (tRNA) molecules are approximately 80 nucleotides in length. Their secondary structure includes four short double-helical elements and three loops (D, anti-codon, and T loops). Further hydrogen bonds mediate the characteristic L-shaped molecular structure. tRNAs have two regions of fundamental functional importance: the anti-codon, which is responsible for specific mRNA codon recognition, and the 3' end, to which the tRNAs corresponding amino acid is attached (by aminoacyl-tRNA synthetases). tRNAs cope with the degeneracy of the genetic code in two manners: having more than one tRNA (with a specific anti-codon) for a particular amino acid; and 'wobble' base-pairing, i.e. permitting non-standard base-pairing at the 3rd anti-codon position. Lineage: Bacteria; Pseudomonadati; Planctomycetota; Planctomycetia; Gemmatales; Gemmataceae. The record is from RNAcentral.